AGUGAACGCUGGCGGUAGGCCUAACACAUGCCAGUCGAACGGCAGCACAGUAAGAGCUUGCUCUUACGGGUGGCGAGUGGCGGACGGGUGAGGAAUACGUCGGAAUCUACUUUUUCGUGGGGGAUAACGUAGGGAAACUUACGCUAAUACCGCAUACGACCUACGGGUGAAAGCAGGGGAUCUUCGGACCUUGCGCGAUUGAAUGAGCCGAUGUCGGAUUAGCUAGUUGGCGGGGUAAAGGCCCACCAAGGCGACGAUCCGUAGCUGGUCUGAGAGGAUGAUCAGCCACACUGGAACUGAGACACGGUCCAGACUCCUACGGGAGGCGGCAGUGGGGAAUAUUGGACAAUGGGCGCAAGCCUGAUCCAGCCAUACCGCGUGGGUGAAGAAGGCCUUCGGGUUGUAAAGCCCUUUUGUUGGGAAAGAAAAGCAGCAGGUUAAUACCCCGCUGUUCUGACGGUACCCAAAGAAUAAGCACCGGCUAACUUCGUG
RNAcentral lists this ribosomal RNA (492 nucleotides) under uncultured bacterium. RNAcentral's name for it is "partial 16S ribosomal RNA". It matches the Rfam family "Bacterial small subunit ribosomal RNA", at positions 29 to 507 of the family's 1533-position model. The record is from RNAcentral.